GUACAACUCAAUAGGGGUCGGGGUGGGCGGCUAAUCCCCUGGAAAGGGGGUGAUGCCUUGAGCGUGUAUCAAUCACUAUCACUAAUGAUUGCCUUCGCAACUUUGGUUGUGCUGAUACUCAGACAUAAGCAAAAGUAGCCUGCCCCACAAGCAAUGGCUACUUUGCUUUUCCCCGUUUUGCCGCCCAUUGACGGCUGUGAGUUGUGCUACCGGGAUGUUUCCAGCGUCCCGG
RNAcentral lists this small RNA (232 nucleotides) under Peptococcaceae bacterium CEB3. Its description in RNAcentral is "Desulfitobacterium sp. enrichment culture clone CEB3 BsrG". It matches the Rfam family "BsrG". Rfam says of the family: bsrE, bsrG and bsrH pair through intermolecular interactions with antisense sRNAs. SR4 interaction with the 3'UTR of bsrG RNA promotes bsrG degradation and inhibits its translation. SR5 also overlaps bsrG from nucleotide 163 to 52 (Rfam overlap check). The record is from Rfam by way of RNAcentral. Lineage: Bacteria; Bacillati; Bacillota; Clostridia; Eubacteriales; Peptococcaceae.